UUCUCGGUGCCGACACCCGCGCAGAGAGCGCGGGAGUGACUAGGUGGACGGCAGGCAAGGUGAUGGAAACGGAAGGGGAGCGGGAGAGGGCGGCGGCGGGGAGUCAGAGAGGGAGCCCGCAGCUCGUAGUGAACGACGAUCUCCUUUAGAUGGCGAAGAAGGACACCUGGCGUUCAGCUCUCGCAAAGCCCGGCAAUGGCGUCAUCUCCUUCCACGAUGAACACUCUUUUUCUACUAUGUUUGAUUUAAUCUCUUCCAAGAUCGCCAAGUGAAGAAGAUGAUUCCAAACACCAUGGUGUUGCAGCACAGAGAUUUUGCUACGGUAAAUGUUCAAGUAUGGAUGACCAUAUUGUAUUAAUAAUUGCCUUUGAUAUACUCAUUCAGAUGCUUCACUUCUGCAUGUUGUUGUUCUACUAUUGUUCGAACGACAUCUACGAUUGAGAUCAUGCCAACUACCUUCUUGUCAAUUACUGGCAUGUGACGAAUAUGAUGGUCUGCCAAAAUAGAAGAUCACAUGUAUCAUGUAUUUGUUAAAUUCUUACUAAGUUUUGGGAGGAAUCCAUACAAGUAAGAAUCAAAUAUUUACCUAUCAUUAGCUGCAUAGCUUUUAGAAUGUUUGUAUCGGAAGUCACAGAAAUGAGUUUGUUCUGUAACACAGCAAAAGAUAAUGUUAGAAGACCAAGAAAUAGGAGCAACCGUCCGAGUUAUAAGGAAAUGCAAGCUUACGUGCAGUGCAAGAUUAUACCUCAUCAGUCAUUAUUUCCCCGACUCUUGUUGCUGUGGAAGAUUUUCCUUGCACAAUAAUUUUCCGUAGAUAAUCUGUAACAAAUGUGAAUUCAGAACAACAAAAUGGAGAAUCACUUUGAUUUGAACCGAAGUUUAAGGUUCCUGUUGUUAUUUCUUCUCUGUCCUUGUCAGGGGAUUGAUUUAUUUUGUAAUGAUUCUGAGUUAUGUGAUGGUACACAUUUUGCAGACUUGGAUAGUAUAUUUACAAUAUAACUCGAAUGUCUCUAUGUCCUAGGACUUAUCUUGUCAUAUUGGGAUUUGCAUCAUGUUUUGCUAUAUCACAAUAAUUUUGUAGCCCUUGAAAUGUUUCUCAUGAUAACUGAUCAUCAACUAAAGGCAAGGGUUUUGAUUUCAAUAUUUUGGAUUACUUGGUGGUCAAACAAGUGAAUUCUGAUUACCUCUCUCAGUGACAAUACCAGCAAGCAGUUUUUCAUCCUCUGGCUUUAUCACAACCAAGGCUCCAAUAUUGUGUUGUGUCAUCUGCAAAUUAAAUUUUCAGCUGGAAGUGUUAUUGCGAUGCAUCAAAUUAGAGUGUUGUAUGUUAUGACAUCUAACAAAAUUGAAUGAGUUAAUACAUUCUGUACUGCAUCAUAGACUGUAUCACUCGUGCAACACCAAUAUACUGCUUCUUUUUCUUCUUCUCCCUUUGCUUUCAGAAGCUCAUAUACUGUUAUGUUCUCCAAUCCUUUAUGUGGUAUUCUAGGAGUUGAAAUAGCAGUCUCAAAACGUGUGACUAUGUUAGGCCAGUAAAAGCCAUCCGUGAAUCUGAGGUGCUGUAGAACUGCAUGUUUGAGCCGGUUUCCAUGGGCCUGUAUUGCUUUAGCUACUCCUUGCAUUACCUGUUGGUGCAUCAAAUGUAAACUCAGUGGUAAGAUUUGAAUGAUUUCUUGGUUAUGGAUUACUUAUGGAUGAUUUAUCUGUAGCCUUGUCUAACAAACAGGAGUAGAGACAAAGUCUACCGAUCUGGAAAUUCAGCUAACUGCACCUAUUUUCUUGUGUUUAGAUAUUUGAGACUAUGUCGAUCAAUUCUUCAUAUGGAUCGCCAAACGUAACUAGGAUGUUGGUUAUUCAAAAUUUCAUCAAUGCUUUGAAAAACUAGAGCAAGGAGAAAGUCGGACUUAAGUUAGCAAAUCUGGAAUGUUCUGCUAAUCCCUCCAUGCAACAUGAUGAGUAACCAAGAAGGAAGUCACGGCGACUUUGGCUUGAUGAUAGUGAAUUGAAAUAUGAUGUUUUUUAUGCCUGUGUUUGUGACAUGAAAUUUUAUGUUUGCAGGCAUGAGCCUUUUGUUCAUCUAAGCCUCUCAAGUGAAAAAAAUGCAAUAUGCUGCACUGAACAGAUGUGUUGGAUUAGAGACUUGUGUUCAUGCUGAGCAUCAAAUAGACACUUUCGAUGAGGUUUGUGCAGAUGGCCAUCAGACUAAUGUACUAAACCUUGUUAUUACCUUGAUUCAGGAGGGAUAGCUGCAGCUGGUGAGGGUACCAAAAUGGUAUAUGUGCCUGCUCCCCUGGCAGAGGUUGUGAAGGCCAUGAAGCUUCUCUCAUGGAUGCUUAAAUGCCUGGAGCAGAGUCAUAUGUGUUGCAAGAAGGCAUGUCUUACACCCUCUUUGCAGGAACUGGUUCUUAGCCUUUCCCUUGAGGUUUCUUCACACCGACGUGUGGACGAAGCAAAGCAGGCAAAGUCGGGGUUUGAGCCAUGGAAAGGAUCUUCAUUUUCUCGGAAGCUUCUACUUUGAGCUAUGUGGUCGUUAUAUAAAAUGGAAAAGUGUCCUCUCGAUAUCAAUCAAUAUUAGAUGUUUUUUUUCAUAUUUUCUUGGAUAAUUUUGUGCUUGGCCUUUGUUACUUGUAUAACCACAGGAGUAAUGAAACCCAAUUACUAUAAGAAGUCCCCAAAGUUUGUUGUCUGCUAUCUAAAUCUCAUAAGGAGAUUCA
Long non-coding RNA from Musa acuminata AAA Group (dessert banana), 2714 nucleotides. RefSeq lists it as uncharacterized. Lineage: Eukaryota; Viridiplantae; Streptophyta; Magnoliopsida; Zingiberales; Musaceae. The record is from RefSeq and is a predicted model, not a curated record. The transcript is spliced from 3 exons.